Molecule: ribosomal RNA, 251 nt
Filed under: uncultured prokaryote
Description: partial 16S rRNA
Rfam family: Bacterial small subunit ribosomal RNA
Source: RNAcentral
ACGUAGGAGGCAAACGUUAUCCGGAUUUACUGGGCGUAAAGCGCGUGUAGGUGGUUUGGUAAGUAGAGCGUGAAAGCUCCUGGCACAACUGGGAGCGGCCGUUCUAAACUGCCGGACUAGAGGAUGGUAGAGGGAGGUGGAAUUCCGGGUGUAGCGGUGGAAUGCGCAGUGAUCCGGAGGAACACCAGUGGCGAGAGCGGCCUCCGGGACCACUCCUGACACUCGGACGCGAAAGCGAGUAUAGGAAACGG